CCUACGGGUGGCAGCAGUGAGGAAUAUUGGUCAAUGGACGAGAGUCUGAACCAGUCAAGUAGCGUGAAGGAUGACUGCCCUAUGGGUUGUAAACUUCUUUUAUAUGGGAAUAAAAUGUUCCACGUGUGGGACUUUGUAUGUACCAUAUGAAUAAGGAUCGGCUAACUCCGUGCCAGCAGCCGCGGUAAUACGGAGGAUCCGAGCGUUAUCCGGAUUUAUUGGGUUUAAGGGGAGCGUAGGUGGAUUGAUAAGUCAGUUGUGAAAGUUUGCGGCUCAACCGUAAAAUUGCAGUUGAAACUGGCAGUCUUGAGUACAGUAGAGGUGGGCGGAAUUCGUGGUGUAGCGGUGGAAUGCUUAGAUAUCACGAAGAACUCCGAUUGCGAAGGCAGCUCACUGGACUGCAACUGACACUGAGGCUCGAAAGUGUGGGUAUCAAACAGGAUUAGAUACCCGGGUAGUC
RNAcentral lists this ribosomal RNA (460 nucleotides) under uncultured bacterium. RNAcentral describes it as "partial 16S ribosomal RNA". It matches the Rfam family "Bacterial small subunit ribosomal RNA", at positions 338 to 795 of the family's 1533-position model. The record is from RNAcentral.